AACCGAACCAAACCAAUUUGGUUCAAUACGUUUGGUUUUUCAGUCUAGUCGGUUUGGUUUGAAUUAGGAUUUUAGAUAAUUUCAGUUUUUCAGUUCGGUUCAGUUAAUUUAAUUAGAAAACUGAACUGACUGAAACUACAUACUAAUUGAUAUUGUUCUAACUCUAUACGGGUAUAGAUCUGCAAGACAGGAGCAAACAUUGGUGGGUUGGCUUAAGUAACCUCUGCGAUAUUAAAUCAGUAAAAGAAUCGAAGAUAAUAUGGAGUAAGAGAGAACUAAGGUAAGGUAAGCAUACCUAAUAGUCCCCUUAUAUGGGCAACAUAUAGACUCCUGUAAAAGUAGGAGUGUUAAUUGGAUUAGGAUUUGGAGUCCGACUAUUAUGGGAUUGAUCUCCUUGUAUCAAAGUCCAUCUAGGUUCAAGACUGUUACUUGAUCAUCCCAAGUAUCUUGGAACCCUAAUCCUUUAGUCAUUGAAUGUCCGAGCUAUACGCAUGAGUCGAAUCAUAUAGGUCAAUGUACAUGGGUUAGACAUCUAAACAACUGACCUAUCACUCGAUUUUAGGGACGUAGUGUUACUAACGUUUGUCAUGUGCUCACUUCAUAUGUUGCGUUUUGCUCAAUAAAUAAACAUAAAUAAAUGCAACUUGUUUUACUUAGUACCCAUUUCCUCUCAUUCUCUCGCUUCUCUUAGAUGCCUCCCCUCCUAGAUUUUUUGAGUUUUCUUCCUCUUCUUCUUCUCCAUUUCUAGUUCUUUUAUUCUCUAUAUAGAUGCAACAUCAUCAAUGGUUGUGGCUCAAACUUGAUUGACACAGCAUCAUCAAUGGUAGUGGCUGGCUUAAUCAAUGGACAACGGUUGUAAUGGCCAGAGGGAUUCACGCGUUGGAAGUAUCGUUCACCUUCAUGCUUCGCUGAUUUUGCCACGAAGGUCAAAGGGAUCUGUGGCUUUGUGCAAUGAAUAUCAAUGGGUGAAGGCUUUGAUGGGCCUGCAUGCUUGAUUUAUGUCUAUGCUUGGAGUCUCCCACGCUUGAUUUCUUUUUCUUUUGCUAUGAUUGUGGAAUUCUUAGAUCAUGAGGGCUCCUUUUUGUUUCUUGAAUUGAUAAUAUUGUUGUGAUACACAUAUAUUUUUGUGUUUAUGUUAUUGUUUGUGUAGUUGCAGAGCGGUUUUUGAGUAGUAGCUUGUGAUGGGUUUUCUUUGAUUCAAGAACCGAUGAAUUGAACCGAACCAAACCAAACCUAUCAUUUGCUCUGCCCUACCUAGGAUUAGUUAUUUAGGUUUCCUGUUUUAAUUAGGAUUUA
RNAcentral lists this unclassified non-coding RNA (1296 nucleotides) under Hevea brasiliensis (rubber tree). The record is from RNAcentral. Lineage: Eukaryota; Viridiplantae; Streptophyta; Magnoliopsida; Malpighiales; Euphorbiaceae.